Molecule: ribosomal RNA, 230 nt
Filed under: Salmonella enterica
Lineage: Bacteria; Pseudomonadati; Pseudomonadota; Gammaproteobacteria; Enterobacterales; Enterobacteriaceae
Description: partial 16S ribosomal RNA
Rfam family: Bacterial small subunit ribosomal RNA
Source: RNAcentral
AAAUUGAAGAGUUUGAUCAUGGCUCAGAUUGAACGCUGGCGGCAGGCCUAACACAUGCAAGUCGAACGGUAACAGGAAGCAGCUUGCUGUUUCGCUGACGAGUGGCGGACGGGUGAGUAAUGUCUGGGAAACUGCCUGAUGGAGGGGGAUAACUACUGGAAACGGUGGCUAAUACCGCAUAACGUCGCAAGACCAAAGAGGGGGACCUUCGGGCCUCUUGCCAUCAGAUG